CUACACUGCUCAGUUAUUGUCGUUUUAAAAAGGGGACUGACGGAUUGUGUCAGACAUACAACCAAGCUACCUGUUCAGAACGACUAUACGUUAUUAUCAUGUCAGCAUUGAUCUGAAUGAGCACGCGAUACAGCGGCUCGUGCCGUGACAGCCUUUAAAUACCAGCCCAGACGUCAUGAACAUCAUUCCACAGAAGAAAAGACAGAUAGAAGACGACAGAUAAAAAAAUGGCUUUCAACAAAAGAACAGAGAAGCUGUACACCGACACCUUCAAAGUGGUGAUUCUGCGAGAGACGAUAAAGGUGAAGGAGUGGAACAUCUCGGAGGAGGAGGCAUUGGCCGUCACCACACUGACCAACUAUGCCGCUGGGGUGUCUGAUGGGAAGAGGGCAACUAAAUUUAUAAUGUUUGAGGAAUUGGCUAAGGGGAUAGAGGAGGGGAAGUCUUACAGGAUAAAAAUUUUUGGGUGGAGCAGUUACGGGGAUAUUAGAAGUAGAACAAUGCUGACAAGGCAUCAGACCGUGGCCUACAUUGCUGCCCCGGUCCAAGUCCCCGCCCACCUGGAGGCAGAGGCUCGGGGCUUAAUAUGUCCCGAGUCAAUGCUCGUCCCUCUGCGGGAGAUGGCAGAGGUCGAGGAGACGACGCUGCUGACUGUUCAGGGCUGGGUCAAAGAACUAGGUGCGUUCCACCCGCAAACAGCGGCCGGUGGCACGCCAGUGCCUCGAAGGGCCGUGGUGCUAAAAGAUGUAAGGAAUUGA
RNAcentral lists this long non-coding RNA (758 nucleotides) under Gadus morhua (Atlantic cod). RNAcentral's name for it is "lncRNA (ENSGMOG00000029876.1)". Lineage: Eukaryota; Metazoa; Chordata; Actinopteri; Gadiformes; Gadidae. The record is from RNAcentral.